GAUGAACGCUGGCGGCGUGCCUAAUACAUGCAAGUCGAGCGAACGGACGAGAAGCUUGCUUCUCUGAUGUUAGCGGCGGACGGGUGAGUAACACGUGGAUAACCUACCUAUAAGACUGGGAUAACUUCGGGAAACCGGAGCUAAUACCGGAUAAUAUUUUGAACCGCAUGGUUCAAAGGUGAAAGACGGUCUUGCUGUCACUUAUAGAUGGAUCCGCGCUGCAUUAGCUAGUUGGUAAGGUAACGGCUUACCAAGGCAACGAUGCAUAGCCGACCUGAGAGGGGGAUCGGCCACACUGGAACUGAGACACGGUCCAGACUCCUACGGGAGGCAGCAGUAGGGAAUAUUCCGCAAUGGGCGAAAGCCUGACGGAGCAACGCCGCGUGAGUGAUGAAGGUCUUCGGAUCGUAAAACUCUGUUAUUAGGGAAGAACAUAUGUGUAAGUAACUGUGCACAUCUUGACGGUACCUAAUCAGAAAGCCACGGCUAACUACGUG
RNAcentral lists this ribosomal RNA (497 nucleotides) under uncultured bacterium. Its description in RNAcentral is "partial 16S ribosomal RNA". It matches the Rfam family "Bacterial small subunit ribosomal RNA", at positions 28 to 507 of the family's 1533-position model. The record is from RNAcentral.